This 928-nucleotide ribosomal RNA is filed under the name uncultured bacterium. RNAcentral describes it as "bacterial SSU rRNA". It matches the Rfam family "Bacterial small subunit ribosomal RNA", at positions 8 to 916 of the family's 1533-position model. The record is from RNAcentral.
AGAGUUUGAUCCUGGCUCAGGAUGAACGCUAGCGACAGGCUUAACACAUGCAAGUCGAGGGGCAACGGGACGUAGCAAUACGUUGCCGGCGACCGGCGGAUGGGUGAGUAACGCGUAUGCAACCUACCCACGACAGGGGGAUAGCCCGUUGAAAGACGGAUUAAUGCCCCAUAAAACAGGGGUUCCGCAUGGGACUAUUUGUUAAAGGGUUCUCCGCGAGGGGGACAUCGGUUGUGGAUGGGCAUGCGUUCCAUUAGGCAGUUGGUGAGGUAACGGCUCACCAAACCGACGAUGGAUAGGGGAACCGAGAGGUUGGUCCCCCACACUGGUACUGAGAUACGGACCAGACUCCUACGGGAGGCAGCAGUGAGGAAUUUUGGUCAAUGGACGGAAGUCUGAACCAGCCAAGUCGCGUGAAGGAAGGCGGCCCUAAGGGUUGUAAACUUCUUUUGUAAGGGAAUAAAGUGCGUUACGUGUAGUGCAUUGCAAGUACCUUACGAAUAAGGAUCGGCUAACUCCGUGCCAGCAGCCGCGGUAAUACGGAGGAUCCGAGCGUUAUCCGGAUUUAUUGGGUUUAAAGGGUGCGCAGGCGGGGGAUUAGGUCGGCGGUGAAAUAUCAGGGCUCAACCUUGAGAGUGCCGUCGAAACCGGUUUUCUUGAGUGCGGAUGAAGUAGGCGGAAUUUGUGGUGUAGCGGUGAAAUGCGUAGAUAUCACAAAGAACACCGAUUGCGGAGGCAGCUUACUAAACCGCAACUGACGCUCAUGCACGAAGGCGUGGGGAUCAAACAGGAUUAGAUACCCCGGUAGUCCACGCAGUAAACGAUGAUUACUAGCUGUUUGCGAUACAAUGUAAGCGGCUGAGCGAAAGCGUUAAGUAAUCCACCUGGGGAGUACGUUCGCAAGAAUGAAACUCAAAUGAAUUGACGG